Molecule: microRNA precursor, 74 nt
Filed under: Tursiops truncatus (common bottlenose dolphin)
Lineage: Eukaryota; Metazoa; Chordata; Mammalia; Artiodactyla; Delphinidae
Description: miRNA (ENSTTRG00000024750.1)
Source: RNAcentral
GUUUGGCCAAAAAGUUCGUUUGGGUUUUUCCAUAACAUCUUACAGAAGAACCCAAACAAACUUUUUGGCCAACC